Molecule: ribosomal RNA, 92 nt
Filed under: Legionella pneumophila
Lineage: Bacteria; Pseudomonadati; Pseudomonadota; Gammaproteobacteria; Legionellales; Legionellaceae
Source: RNAcentral
UCCUGGCGACUAUAGCGAUUUGGAACCACCUGAUACCAUCUCGAACUCAGAAGUGAAACAUUUCCGCGCCAAUGAUAGUGUGAGGACUCCUC